RNAcentral lists this small RNA (839 nucleotides) under Histoplasma capsulatum var. duboisii H88. RNAcentral describes it as "Histoplasma capsulatum H88 hypothetical RNA". The record is from RNAcentral. Lineage: Eukaryota; Fungi; Ascomycota; Eurotiomycetes; Onygenales; Ajellomycetaceae.
UCUAUCUUCUGGAACAUAGCCGUACUCCAUUUCCACUUCUGCAUAUCAUAUCUGCCAGUCGCCUGCCUACAACCUUCCGCUGCUCAUUCACCUCCAACCAUUACGACUGCCUGCUCAACUGGUUUUGCUGCUUCAAGGCAACAUGCCUCCUCCACCUCCUCCUCCCCCGCCACCCCCUCCUGCGGCUGGCGGUCCACCAAAAUCCACGAACUUACCAAGCAGGUCUCCCAAAGCAGCUGCACAAGGCCGGGGAGCUCUUCUCUCAGACAUCUCGAAAGGUACCCAUCUCAAGAAAACCGUAACAAAUGAUAGAUCGGCCCCUGUAAUUGGAAAGUCCUCCGGAACAUCGGGUGGUCUUUCAGUUGGCGGAGCCCCGCCGGUGCCUAGCAUGCCCAAGCCCCCUAACGGAUUAGUCCCGCCUGUCCCUGGUGGAAAUCGAUUGCGGAGUAAUAGCGACCAGGGCCGUGGAGGAGCUGACUCGAGCGCGACUCCUGGUGCUAUUGCUCAUGAAAGCGGGACGAUCCCUUCUGCUCCGCAAUUAGGUGGAUUAUUCGCUGGCGGCAUGCCUAAGCUUAAGAAGCGUGGUGGAAUAGACACGGGCGCGAGCGCGGAUGCUUCAUACCUUUCAGACUCUGAAAGCUCUCGAAAACCUGGCCCGUGGACUCCCACUGGCAGUGCUCCACCACCACCACUACCAAGUGGUCGUCCGCCACCUCCAACACCAGGUGGCCCUCCACAGGUCCAAGAGAACCCCCUAGUUGCAAAUCUACGAAAGAUCCCCCCCCGCACGUCAGGAAGGCCUUCAUCCUCAAUCUCAUAUAUCUCACUAAAUCAGCUCC